UCCAAAGUCCAAGUUACAACACCAAUUCAAUUUACAAAUGAAUAGAAAAAUAAAUUACAAGCCUAAAUGAAAAGGAAGGUCAAUGGCCCAAAACAUUUAAAAACUUUCAAGGGUUUCUGGUGCCGUUGCCCUUUUGCCACAUCAAUGCUCUUCAUCCCGAGGCCUGACACCCUUUUUGUCGCUGUUUCACCAAAGUAGCAAAAGGUCCACCUUUCUCUCCUCCGUUGACUAAGCGCCAGACCUGCAAAAGGAUCAAAGGACAGAAACCAUACGCAGAGACAGUAGCAAAAAGACAGAGUAGAAACAAUAGAAAAUACAUAGAAAAACCAAAAAUCUAAUGUAUUAUUUUGCUAUAAAAGCCACCACAAUCAAUAUAAUUUUGGAGGGGAAGAAAUAUAAAAAAAACUCACAAUAGUUUUUAAGAAAGGUAUUUUUUCUUUUAUAUAUUUUUUUCUUAAACAUAUCGUGUGUGUGUGUAUAUAUAUAUAUAAAAUACAAAAACCUUUACCUUCACUGCCUUUGCUGGAGACUUCUUUGGCUUGGAAGGUGGCUGGACUCGUGGUGGUUCGCUGAAAACCUCAUUGGGGUGACCGAAAAUCGAAAAGUUUCUUAAAUUUUCUAAGGUUUCGGCAUUUUGUUUCAAAUCAAGUUUUAAGAAAAGGGGGUUAAAGGGUUUUAAAAAAGAGAUUUUAAAAGGUGAAGGUUGAAAAGACUUUUUUUUCUCUCUUUGGCCACCGGAGGCAACGACUGUCGUUGCUGAUGACUGGUGGCCCACGGCGGGCUCACGACGACUCCAUGGCCAGACUUGGGGCGUGUUUCAAAGAAAAAAAAUGAAGAAAAGGAAUUUUUUUUAAAAC
This 857-nucleotide long non-coding RNA is filed under the name Gossypium barbadense (sea-island cotton). RNAcentral describes it as "long non-coding RNA (GBAR_LNC007907)". Lineage: Eukaryota; Viridiplantae; Streptophyta; Magnoliopsida; Malvales; Malvaceae. The record is from RNAcentral.